This 436-nucleotide ribosomal RNA is filed under the name uncultured Oscillibacter sp. Its description in RNAcentral is "partial 16S ribosomal RNA". It matches the Rfam family "Bacterial small subunit ribosomal RNA", at positions 341 to 792 of the family's 1533-position model. Lineage: Bacteria; Bacillati; Bacillota; Clostridia; Eubacteriales; Oscillospiraceae. The record is from RNAcentral.
ACGGAAGGCAGCAGUGGGGAAUAUUGGGCAAUGGGCGCAAGCCUGACCCAGCAACGCCGCGUGAAGGAAGAAGGCUUUCGGGUUGUAAACUUCUUUUGGGAGGGAAGAGAAGAAGACUGUACCUCUCGAAUAAGCCACGGCUAACUACGUGCCAGCAGCCGCGGUAAUACGUAGGUGGCCAGCGUUGUCCGGAUUUACUGGGUGUAAAGGGCGUGUAGCCGGGUUUGCAAGUCAGAUGUGAAAUCUAUGGGCUUAACUCAUAAACUGCAUUUGAAACUGUAGAUCUGGAGUAUCGGAGAGGCAAUCGGAAUUCCUAGUGUAGCGGUGAAAUGCGUAGAUAUUAGGAGGAACACCAGUGGCGAAGGCGGAUUGCUGGACGACAACUGACGGUGAGGCGCGAAAGCGUGGGGAGCAAACAGGAUUAGAUACCCUGGUA